UACGUAGGGAGCAAGCGUUGUCCGAAAUCAUUGGGCGUAAAGCGCGCGUAGGUGGCCUCAUAAGUCCGCUGUGAAAGUCCAAGGCUCAACCUUGGAAGGCCGGUGGAUACUGUGAGGCUAGAGUACGGAAGAGGCGAGUGGAAUUCCAGGUGUAGCGGUGAAAUGCGUAGAUAUCGGGAGGAACACCUGUGGCGAAAGCGGCGCACUGGACCACAACUGACGCUGAGGCGCGAAAGCUAGGGGAGCAAACAGG
RNAcentral lists this ribosomal RNA (253 nucleotides) under uncultured bacterium. RNAcentral's name for it is "partial 16S ribosomal RNA". It matches the Rfam family "Bacterial small subunit ribosomal RNA", at positions 524 to 776 of the family's 1533-position model. The record is from RNAcentral.